GACGAACGCUGGCGGCGUGCUUAACACAUGCAAGUCGAACGGUAAGGCCCCUUCGGGGGUACACGAGUGGCGAACGGGUGAGUAACACGUGGGUAAUCUGCCCUGCACUUCGGGAUAAGCCUGGGAAACCGGGUCUAAUACCGGAUAUGAACUCCUGCCGCAUGGUGGGGGUUGGAAAGUUUUUCGGUGCAGGAUGAGCCCGCGGCCUAUCAGCUUGUUGGUGGGGUAAUGGCCUACCAAGGCGACGACGGGUAGCCGGCCUGAGAGGGUGAUCGGCCACACUGGGACUGAGACACGGCCCAGACUCCUACGGGAGGCAGCAGUGGGGAAUAUUGCACAAUGGGCGAAAGCCUGAUGCAGCGACGCCGCGUGGGGGAUGACGGUCUUCGGAUUGUAAACCCCUUUCAGUAGGGACGAAAGCGCAAAGUGACGGUACC
Molecule: ribosomal RNA, 437 nt
Filed under: Dietzia sp. oral taxon 368
Lineage: Bacteria; Bacillati; Actinomycetota; Actinomycetes; Mycobacteriales; Dietziaceae
Description: bacterial SSU rRNA
Rfam family: Bacterial small subunit ribosomal RNA
Source: RNAcentral